GAUGAGCCUUACUCCAACAGCAAGAAAAGUUAUAGCCAUAUUACAACAUGAAACACUUAAUAACAGAGAAUGCCAGGUCAUGGAUUAUCUAAAGAGGUUCAUCAAGCACUGUAGUGAUGUUCGGCUCAGGAAAUUUCUGCGUUUCUGCACAGGAGCUGACCUCCUUGUUGCAAGGUUUAUUCAUGUCCGAUUUGUGCAGCCACAAACUUCCUUCACAAGAUCUCCCCAGGCCCACACCUGUGGAUGUGUGUUAGAAGUUCCAAACAAUUAUCCUUCAUACCCUGAGCUUGCAGAGGAGUUCAUAAACAUCCUUGAUGCAAACAUAUGGGUGAUGGAUAUUGUGUAAAGGUGGUCAGACAGUAUGUGCAGCAGGAUAUGACUGUUUCUUUGUAUCAUUCACAGUCUCCACCUCAAACACAGUUUCCUG
Long non-coding RNA from Tachysurus fulvidraco (yellow catfish), 427 nucleotides. RefSeq lists it as uncharacterized. NCBI's taxonomy places the organism in Eukaryota, Metazoa, Chordata, Actinopteri, Siluriformes, Bagridae. The transcript has 3 exons. The record is from RefSeq and is a predicted model, not a curated record.